This 421-nucleotide ribosomal RNA is filed under the name uncultured Sphingobacterium sp. Its description in RNAcentral is "bacterial SSU rRNA". It matches the Rfam family "Bacterial small subunit ribosomal RNA", at positions 356 to 774 of the family's 1533-position model. Lineage: Bacteria; Pseudomonadati; Bacteroidota; Sphingobacteriia; Sphingobacteriales; Sphingobacteriaceae. The record is from RNAcentral.
AAGGAAUAUUGGUCAAUGGGCGGAAGCCUGAACCAGCCAUGCCGCGUGCAGGAUGACUGCCCUAUGGGUUGUAAACUGCUUUUGUCCAGGAAUAAACCUAAAUACGUGUAUUUAGCUGAAUGUACUGGAAGAAUAAGGAUCGGCUAACUCCGUGCCAGCAGCCGCGGUAAUACGGAGGAUCCGAGCGUUAUCCGGAUUUAUUGGGUUUAAAGGGUGCGUAGGCGGCCUAUUAAGUCAGGGGUGAAAUACGGUGGCUCAACCAUCGCAGUGCCUUUGAUACUGAUGGGCUUGAAUCCAUUUGAAGUGGGCGGAAUAAGACAAGUAGCGGUGAAAUGCAUAGAUAUGUCUUAGAACUCCGAUUGCGAAGGCAGCUCACUAAGCUGGUAUUGACGCUGAUGCACGAAAGCGUGGGGAUCGAACA